This 706-nucleotide long non-coding RNA is filed under the name Homo sapiens (human). RNAcentral describes it as "HSALNT0254445". The record is from RNAcentral. Lineage: Eukaryota; Metazoa; Chordata; Mammalia; Primates; Hominidae.
CCGGCAGACCCAAGGGCGGCCUCCUUCAUGGAGGGCAGUCAGGGACACACAGUCCCUGAGCCAGACCCAGAAUGGGGAGACCCCUAUAUUUCCUGGGUCGGGGAGGGAAGGGAGCUCUGAAGGGCGUUCCCACGUUCCAGGUGAGCAGGACUUUCAGACCUCUGGGAAUCCAUGACGCCAGGUGUCUUCUGCAAACAAAGGACCUCCCAGAGCCCACGGAGGGGGAAUGUUUCGAAAGUGUGCUGGCCAGGAAAGAGACCAGACGUGAACCACACUUCCUCCCUCCCUCUGCUCCAGAUGUCUGCACCAGAGGUGGUCGGGAGGAGGCUGCCAGAUAGACAAGACAACAGGAGCGUUGGAAAAGGGCGGCUUCCACUACUACCUCCCAAUGUGGGGAUGUGACUGGAAGAGCAGCUCCAUGACCCAAGGAUGGGACUUUGGCUUUCUUUUAUCCCCAAGCCAGCCCGUGACAUGCCUUCUGCUAGAUGGAUGGCUGUCUGCAGCUCUGACCCUGUAGUUUUGCGCAGAUUAUCUGUCCCAUGAAACGUUUAGACUCUGGCCUGAGAAUUCCUCCUUUCGUCUUCUUUUUUUUUUUUUUUUUUUUUGAGACGGAGUCUCGCUCUGUUGCCCAGGCUGGAGUGCAGUGGCGCGAUCUCAGCUCACUGCAACCCCCCGCCCCCCAGGUUCAAGCAAUUCUCCUGCCUCA